UACGUAGGCAGCGAGCGUUGUUCGGAAUUACUGGGCGUAAAGAGUGCGUAGGUGGUUGGCUAAGUUUGGUGUGAAAUCUCCCGGCUUAACUGGGAGGGUGCGCCGAAAACUGGCUGGCUAGAGUGUGGGAGAGGGAAGUGGAAUUCCUGGUGUAGCGGUGAAAUGCGUAGAUAUCAGGAGGAACACCUGAGGUGUAGACGGCUUCCUGGACCAUUACUGACACUGAGGCACGAAAGCGUGGGUAGCAAACAGG
This 253-nucleotide ribosomal RNA is filed under the name uncultured bacterium. RNAcentral describes it as "partial 16S ribosomal RNA". It matches the Rfam family "Bacterial small subunit ribosomal RNA", at positions 524 to 776 of the family's 1533-position model. The record is from RNAcentral.